Molecule: long non-coding RNA, 1884 nt
Organism: Aedes aegypti (yellow fever mosquito)
Lineage: Eukaryota; Metazoa; Arthropoda; Insecta; Diptera; Culicidae
Exons: 3
Source: RefSeq, a predicted model, not a curated record
UGAAUGGGACAGUCCAACAGGUCGACAGGACAGCUAUACAGAUUCCGGAAAGAAGAAUUAUCUAAGCAAAAGCAUCUAACUCUUGUUGUCGAUACUUAUACUACUAUCUGAUGUUAGUGCUCAUGUGUCCGUGAUAAAAAAGAAUAAGAAAAUUUAAAACAAAUUAGUAGAAUGUAAGAGCAAAUCGAUGUUGCACUUAACUUAUUUUCCAAUGUAGAAAUGUGUUUAGUAAUAUAAAAAAUAAAACUUCAAAAAGUAUCUCAAAUUGUUUAUAUUUUAUUGAAGAAACUGUUUUUCUUUUCAGGUCACUCAACACUAUUUGGACAUGGAACAACAAAAGAAAAUUACGGCACGGAGAAGUUCAUGUGCGUGAACAUCACGAGGAAUGAAGUCAAAUCGUACCAGCAGUGAUCAACAGCAUUUCGGGAAAAUCUGAACUACUGAAUGGAAUUGAUUGCUGGGAUGGUAAAUGCUGCUUUACCUUGUGCAAUGGGACCUUUGCUGCUGGGAUCAAGCUGAGGGCAACGGAAAGGAGCCGCGCGCCGUCAGAAGGAGAUUGGAUACAUUUUUUCCCUUGUCACCGCUCGCGUCCGAUCGUUUGUUCGUUGUUGGUUCGAAGCUCGCCGAAGUUUGGUAGCUGACGACUGAUGUUGGUGGUGUUGGUGUCAAAGGAAAAGGGGCUUUGCGUAUGUGUGCGUGGGUAUAUGAGCACGGGGCGAGUGCGCGCAGGGAAACGAUCUAAUCAGCGCUAAUUAAUCUGCUGUUGGGUCUCGAUGUUCCUUCGCGCCCGCCGAGGUUGUCCCGAUGGACGAGAGGACGAAGAAGUCCACUUGCGUCCACGGAACGAACGAAUCCGCACUAGCAGCAGCGGGAAGAAAGGGGACGCAACGCGAAGGCAUCAAGCGCUCUUGGCAAGGCCAUCAUCAUCUCCAUCAUCCGGAUAAAGGCUUUCUUCUCCCUUUUGUGGGCAAAGUGAAGUGGAUCGAUCGCCAGCCAGGGAGAGACAGAGAGGAGAGAUCGCGAGAGUGGCAGAGGCUACGCGGGCGGAGCGAAGCGAAGGAGGCAAUGCACCAGCAGCAGCAGAUGAGGGCACCGAAGCAGGUAGGCCCGUAGAUUGGAAGGCGGUAGAUUUUUUUUUGUACGGGCGUCCAUGUACCGUGAUCCAGAAGAGGCAGAAAAGCGUACGAUCGAUCGGUGAGAAAGCAGCAGCGCUGAGUGAUAUCAUUUGGCGAUGGGUGCAGAUGGCGCAAAGGGUGGCGACGGAACCAGCGGAAAUCAAUUUCGCCAGGGGAAAACAGUGAUGCCGUAAAUGAGCAGUUUGUUUUGUGAUAUGUUUUGUUGUUAUUCAGGCCCUUGCCUCGGUGGAUGAUCGGCAAGCCAUGGUCAUUGGUGGACGAUCGCCGAGUGGAUCGGAAUUUCGAGACGCCAUAUGUGCCCGAUUCACCGCGGGUCAAACGCUAUCAAUGGGGAGGUUCGAAUCGAAGUGGUGAAGCUUUGAUUAGACGCUGGGGAUCGAAUAAUUUAGGUGCUGGAAGUGGAUUGCCAGGCUGCUUACAAAUUCAUUCGUCAAAUUGCGAUCCACAGUUUUAUGUUCAAUAAUGAAUUGGAACAUUUAGGCGGCUUUCAAACAAGUCGUUUUUUGAUUACACCUAGAAGUUUGAACGAAUCAGCCAAAUUUGAACGUAUUGAAGUCUUGGUUCCUAGUCUGGCAGAUUCUUGAAAACAUUCUUGACGAAUUUAUGAAAAGAUCUUUAAGGUAGCUCUGUCAAGAUCUGAUGAACGACGAGAUCUCCAUAAUGGCGAACACAAAGAAAUUGCUGGACAAAUUCUCCAAAAAGUUUUUUGUUUGGAAAGCCUUUUGAGUGUGCAACAAGAUGAGUCAGU